CUAAAAGUGAGUGGAGGUUUCUCGUCAGGGAGUGCUCUUGGCACAGGUUGUGGGGAGUUGUUCUUCUGUUCUCGUUUCAAAACGCUUCUCACUUCCUCGGCAGUCUCGUCCUCAAAUGGCGACCUCACAUGUUCAACCUGGUUGCCAAUUGAGACUUCUGGUUUCAACUCUUUCUCUUCCUUUUCUGGCUGAUUCUGAUGUUGGAAAUAGGGCAACAAAUUAACAUUA
Molecule: non-coding RNA, 228 nt
Organism: Paramuricea clavata
Lineage: Eukaryota; Metazoa; Cnidaria; Anthozoa; Malacalcyonacea; Plexauridae
Source: the annotation of a GenBank genome assembly